UAUUAAUGGUCAUGCAUAUCUCAUUUAGUAUUUGCUCUGUGCAGGGUUAAAUAUCUUGUCUUGGAUGAAGCUGAUAAGCUUUUUGAGCUAGGUUUUGUAGAACAAAUUGAUUCUGUGGUCAAAGCCUGUUAAAAAACUACUGUAGUGCUACACUGUUCAGUAAAUUCUGCCUCCGAGAUGAUUAAGCAAAAGCCUGUUUUUGCCGGUAGUGAAAAAGGGAAUUUUGCUUGCUAUUCGUCAAAGCUUUUCAGAGGUCCUAAGGGAUCAUCGGAGGUUUCGGGAUGGUUGACCUUUACGGAUGAACAUAUAUAAGUGUCGCAUGACUUAGGUAAAACUAGUCAAGUGCAUGAUAAUGGGAUAUUAAGAAAUUAGGAGUUAGAUCAUCUUUAUUUCGUCUAAUAACCAAUCCAUUACCUGGGUUUUCAUAGGCGAGUUACAUCUUCGCUUACUGCCCUUCUGUGGAAAAUUAGAAUUCUAUUGUUUUUUUAUACAUGUAUCUCCUAUGCUUAUAAUCUAAGUAGUGCAAAGUUAAAAAGUUCACUUUGUUAGGAUCUUUUGCCAGCCAGCCAUCCAAUUCAGCUGUGUGAAUUAGAUGCAAAAGUUCUUGGUAGAUCCAUGGGUGGUAACAUAAAUUGAUGAGAUUUCUGUAACAUAUUCAUUGACUAUUUAUCGAAGAGAGUAGAAUUUUGCUGCGAUGUAUUGUUUAUGUUCUCACCUCUUGUUCUGGAAUCAAUUUUAACUUCAUUCGAGGUAAUGCUUCUAUGUAGUUCUGAUCUACUUGAAUCUUUUGCUGUUCCCGGAGUCUGGAUACCUGAUCGGGUCUCUUACAAAAAGCUUAGCUUGUGUUUUUGUUGACAGUUAUAUGGAAUUAUUUUGUUCAAAUACCGGAUACAUGCUAAUUCAUUCGUCGGCAA
Musa acuminata AAA Group (dessert banana) is the source of this 914-nucleotide long non-coding RNA. RefSeq lists it as uncharacterized. The record is from RefSeq and is a predicted model, not a curated record. Lineage: Eukaryota; Viridiplantae; Streptophyta; Magnoliopsida; Zingiberales; Musaceae. The transcript is spliced from 3 exons.